UGCUGCUUUAAGUGCCAAACAGACACUUCGCUGACUGGGCUGUGGUGACCCUUUCUCAAGAUUGAGGACCCUGGGAUGAAAGUCCUGCCCAUCAAGAUCUUCAGAUCAUUUGAAGACUGGCAACUUUGCAUUGUCCAGCAAAGCCAAUGUGGGGGCACUGUCUUCUGACAGUCCUACACUCACCAAGGCCCAGAGUCACCGUGGCUUCAAGCAUGGACAGGAACUGAAGGAGAGAAAUAGCAUUUUCCGCAUCAAGCAACUGGAACCAAGUUACGAAAGAUCCAUUCGUUCUUACUCUGGGGUUCAAUAAAGAAAUCGUGCUGCGGUCUUCAAUUCUGUUUGGGUCAAAGGUUAGCUCAGCUCCCGAAUAUUGGGUAAAUGCAGAGAAGUGGGCCAUUUUGCCAGCCCAUGGAUUUUCGCAGACAGUCACCUUCAAUCAUCCAGACAUAAAAUUUGUAGCUACAAUCACUUACAAGGAUAAAAUGAAGUAUAACGUCUAGUCGAUGCUCGUGCUGCUUAAGGGACUGUCAUACAGGAAGGUUCACUUUUGGAAGGUGCAAGAUGAAAAGCUUCGACUUCAUGUCUCCUUUUAACAACGCCUGCAACCUCUCAACUUAUGUGCCUCCCUCCGAAGGAAAAACCAUAGUCUGAAUAAUCCUAACUCACUCAUUUUCUCACGGCAAGAAAAAGAGUCUAUAACUCCUGGGUGAGGUAAUGAAGUAGGGCAGGCAUUGGUCAUCCUGACAGCAGUGACAUAGGGGAUUCUGGAAGCCAGCACGGUGGGAGCAGUACAGACUGUGACUUAUGAGAGAAGGCCAUUUCUGGAGGCACACCAAGAGAUGAAGAACAAUGCAUUGCAGUACUUAGAAGAGGAAUAUCCAUCCGAUGAAGCAGUGCCCUAUGACUUAUGAACACCUUCCAUCAGCUCGGAUACACUCUCCUGUUUCCCUCAGUGGUGCCUGAGUCACAGAUAGAAUGGCUGGCACAAGGUGUGGAGCACUUCACAUGUGAACAAGAUCUGUAGGCAGGGAGAAUAGGGCAGAUUCGCUAUCAGGGGCUUGAGGACAUCAACAGAUGUCAUUUAGACACAGAUGCUGAGCCUCAGCUGUUUUACACUACAUGAGUACUUAAAGGAAAUGUGUGGCUGUCUGUCAGAAUUUGCAUUGCUCAACCUCAUGCUAAAGUCUAUCACUGCAACGUAUUUGACAUUUGAGUACAUGACUGCCCCCAUUGAACAAAUGGCCACAUUCAUGGAGAGUCUGAUAUAAUACAUCAAUCAAUGCAUGUAUGUGCAUAACAAUGUAUUGUAUAGAAUGGUAGUGAAGUUGAGAAUCUAUGAUCGAAUAAUUGCCUUACCGGUUAAAUAUUGCUUUCAAAAGCAGCUCUUCUGCUGUUGAUUAGCAGAGAUAUGCACAUUAUUCCUGUUUUGGGGACCCUGGUAUGAAUCCCACCAUGUCAGAUUGUGAAGUUUGAAUUCAAUAAAAUCUGGACGAAGAGUCUGGCAAUGAUCGUGAAACUAUUGUCAAUUGUCAGAAAAACCAGUCUGGUUCACAAAUUUCCUUUAACGAAGAAAACUGUCAUCCUUACCUGGUCUGGCCUACAUGUGACUCCAGACCUAGUAAUAUGGUUGAUUCUUAACUGCACUCUGGGCAGUUAGGGAUAGGUAAUAAAUGCUGGUCUGGACAGUGCAUCCCGUUAACAAAUGUAAAAAACAAUUCCUGAGAGAGAAGAGAUAGGCAAGAACAAUUAAAGUGGGGCCUUUCUUCAGUUGCUUCAGUGGCCUUGGCCCCUCUGGAAGAGCCACAAAUAAUGCAUUCUAUUUUCAUAAUCACAGAAUCAGAAUUAUUACAGUGCACAAGGAGGCCAUUUGGCCUACGCUGCCUGCACCACCUCUAUUAUCUAGGGCCAAUCUCCUUCCUUUUCCCCACAACUCUGCAUACUGUUACCAUUCAAAAACCAUCUAAUACCCUCUUUAAUGCCUCAAUUGAACCUGCCUCCAACACAUUCCCAGGGAGUGCAUUUCAUGCCCUAACUACUCUCUGUGCAAUAAAGCUUUUCCUUACAUGACCCUUGCUUCAUUUGCACAUCAGAUUAACUCUAUGACCUCUCAUUCUCAUUCUUUUACAAGCAGAAAUAGCUUUGACCUAUCUACUCU
This is a long non-coding RNA of Rhincodon typus (whale shark), 2155 nucleotides long. RefSeq lists it as uncharacterized. The record is from RefSeq and is a predicted model, not a curated record. The transcript has 6 exons. NCBI's taxonomy places the organism in Eukaryota, Metazoa, Chordata, Chondrichthyes, Orectolobiformes, Rhincodontidae.